GGACCCGCACAAGCGGUGGAGCAUGUGGUUUAAUUCGAUGCAACGCGAAGAACCUUACCUGCCCUUGACAUACUCGGAACUUGUCAGAGAUGACUUGGUGCCUUCGGGAAUCGAGAUACAGGUGCUGCAUGGCUGUCGUCAGCUCGUGUCGUGAGAUGUUGGGUUAAGUCCCGCAACGAGCGCAACCCUUGUCCCUAGUUACCAGCACUUCGGGUGGGAACUCUAGGGAGACCGCCGGUGAUAAACCGGAGGAAGGUGGGGAUGACGUCAAGUCCUCAUGGCCCUUACAGGCUGGGCUACACACGUGCUACAAUGGCGAUGACAGUGGGCAGCGACCCCGCAAGGGUGAGCUAAUCUCCAAAAGUCGUCUCAGUUCGGAUUGUCCUCUGCAACUCGAGGGCAUGAAGGCGGAAUC
RNAcentral lists this ribosomal RNA (415 nucleotides) under uncultured bacterium. RNAcentral's name for it is "bacterial SSU rRNA". It matches the Rfam family "Bacterial small subunit ribosomal RNA", at positions 917 to 1333 of the family's 1533-position model. The record is from RNAcentral.